Molecule: long non-coding RNA, 1286 nt
Filed under: Homo sapiens (human)
Lineage: Eukaryota; Metazoa; Chordata; Mammalia; Primates; Hominidae
Description: HSALNT0341806
Source: RNAcentral
UAAAUAAACAAACAAACAAAUAAGAAGAAACUCAUCACCAAAGGCCCCAUGGAAUAUCUGCAAUACCCUGAAGACCAUGAUGUUCAGCAGCAACAAGGAAGUGCCACAAGAAAGCAUAACCAUUGAUCAUUGACAAAAUGACUUGGCUCUAUCUGGAUUUAUCUUAACCAAGGAAUUUAGAAGAACAGAAAAAGUAGUGGAGUCAAAUAAAUUCCAGAACACGAAUAGUAGACAUUGUAGAAUCAGAAAUAGUAGAGAUUAAUACCUUUCCUCUCCAUCAUGAGGGGCAUGGCCAACAUUCAUAACAAAAUGAGAGCAGCAGGAGGUAGACAAAUGCCUAAGUAGACAGAGGAAGGUCCCGAGUGAAACCCCACCUUCAAUCCAAAAUCAGCCCGAGACCUGCAACCUAGAGUGAGAUCUUCUAUUCCUGUUUGCCUGCUCUUUCCCAAUUGGUUCUUUCUGAAUAAUGCUUUUAAACUAACCAAAAGUUACCUAUUCCAAUGCUACCUUCGUCCCACCCCUCCCCAUCCUGUGCUUGUAAAAACCCUAGACUCAUCCACACCGGGGGAGAAACCACCUGACUUCGGGUGGGGAAGCUCUCCUGUGACCCCUCUCCACUGAGAGCUGUUUUGUCACUCAAUAAAAUUCUUCUCCACCCUCCUCACCCUUCAAUUGUCAGCAUAUCCUCAUUUUUCUAGGACACAGGACAAGAACUCAGGAAUCACCAGACCCAUAAUAUGAGCUAUAACACAGAUGGGCUGGGGCACACCUGGCCCAGCUGCGGGCUGAGCCAGUGUGCAAGCCAGGCACAGCCUGGGUGGGCUGAGUGGGUGGGCCACCUCCUGCAGCAAGUAGCAUGGCCAAGCAAGGCCCAGGCGGGGGCGUCGCCGGCCGGCGGUUCCCAGCUGGUGAAGUGACUGAGAAAAAUCCUGCAUCAAAAAGACAGGUUAACAAGAAAAAAGCACACCAGUUUAUUCAAAAUUUUAUGUGACACUAAAGCCUUCAGAAAUGAAGACUCAAAGACUCAGGGAAAAGUGUCUAUUUUUAUGCUUGGGUUUGGUGAGGCAUGAACAGCUGUGUAGCAAUGUGAUUGGACAAAAGGGGAAGACCUAAAGAUAAUAGACCGAGUAGGGAAACUCAGCAAAGCUGUACGGAUUCCUCUUGGGCUGUCUGUGGUAUCAUUUCUUCCUUCUUGAUAUGGGGCAGGACCCAUCUGGAUUGAGGGUCUUAUGACCUACUAUUAAAGAGAGGUAGGUCAGAGAAUUUCUUUAUAGUCAGCUCCUAGA